Alosa sapidissima (American shad) is the source of this 225-nucleotide long non-coding RNA. RefSeq lists it as uncharacterized. The transcript has 2 exons. Lineage: Eukaryota; Metazoa; Chordata; Actinopteri; Clupeiformes; Clupeidae. The record is from RefSeq and is a predicted model, not a curated record.
GAAACUUGUAAAUCUCGUGACCAAACUUAUAAAGCUGAUAACACGACUAAACGUUCAGAACCUUCCAGACCACGCCUGAGAAGUAACAGAAAUGAUGGCACAGGAUCCUGUAGCCUGCAUCGAACAUCAAAGAUAAAUGACGAAUUCAGACGGAUCUCUACAUUCAUUCAUUGCACAACUGGACCAGUUGCCAUUGCUUUAAAAAUAAACAAUGCUUUCAGAAAA